AGUGAACGCUGGCGGUAGGCCUAACACAUGCAAGUCGAACGGAAGCACAGUAAGAGCUUGCUCUUACGGGUGGCGAGUGGCGGACGGGAGAGGAGUACAACGGAAUCUACUUUUUCGUGGGGGUUAACGUAGGGAAACUUACGCUAAUACCGCAUACGCCCUACGGGUGAAAGCAGGGGAUCUUCUGACCUUGCGCGAUUGAAUGAGCCGAUGUCGGAUUAGCUAGUUGGCGGGGUAAAGGCCCACCAAGGCGACGAUCCGUAGCUGGUCUGAGAGGAGGAUCGGCCACACUGGAACUGAGACACGGUCCAGACUCCUACGGGAGGCAGCAGUGGGGAAUAGUGGACAAUGGGCGCAAGCCUGAUCCAGCCAUACCGCGUGGGUGAAGAAGGCCUUCGGGUUGUAAAGCCCUUUUGUUGGGAAAGAAAAGCAGCAGGUUAAUACCCCGCUGUUCUGACGGUACCCAAAGAAUAAGCACCGGCUAACUUCGUG
RNAcentral lists this ribosomal RNA (492 nucleotides) under uncultured bacterium. Its description in RNAcentral is "partial 16S ribosomal RNA". It matches the Rfam family "Bacterial small subunit ribosomal RNA", at positions 29 to 507 of the family's 1533-position model. The record is from RNAcentral.